UUGCCAUUAGUUGCUACAUUCAGCUGAGCACUCUAAUGGGACUGCCGGUGACAAACCGGAGGAAGGUGGGGAUGACGUCAAGUCCUCAUGGCCCUUAUGGGUAGGGCUACACACGUGCUACAAUGGUCGGUACAAAGGGUUGCCAAGCCGCGAGGUGGAGCUAAUCCCAUAAAACCGAUCGUAGUCCGGAUCGCAGUCUGCAACUCGACUGCGUGAAGUCGGAAUCGCUAGUAAUCGUGAAUCAGAACGUCACGGUGAAUACGUUCCCGGGCCUUGUACACACCGCCAUCGGUGGGGAAUUUUGGACAAUGGGCGCAAGCCUGAUCCAGCCAUGCCGCGUGAGUGAAGAAGGCCUUCGGGUUGUAAAGCUCUUUCGGCCGGGAAGAAAUCGGUCUCUCGAAUAAAGGGAUCGGAUGACGGUACCGGAGUAAGAAGCACCGGCUAACUACGUGCCAGCAGCCGCGGUAAUACGUAGGGUGCGAGCGUUAAUCGGAAUUACUGGGCGUAAAGCGUGCGCAGGCGGUUUGCUAAGACAGGUGUGAAAUCCCCGGGCUUAACCUGGGAACUGCGCUUGUGACUGGCAGGCUGGAGUACGGUAGAGGGGGGUGGAAUUCCUGGUGUAGCAGUGAAAUGCGUAGAGAUCAGGAGGAACACCGAUGGCGAAGGCAGCCCCCUGGGCCUGUACUGACGCUCAUGCACGAAAGCGUGGGGAGCAAACAGGAGUAGAUACCCUGGUAGUCCACGCCCUAAACGAUGUCGACUAG
This 764-nucleotide ribosomal RNA is filed under the name uncultured soil bacterium. RNAcentral describes it as "bacterial SSU rRNA". The stretch from base 229 to 764 matches the Rfam family "Bacterial small subunit ribosomal RNA", at positions 1 to 819 of the family's 1533-position model. The record is from RNAcentral.